RNAcentral lists this ribosomal RNA (540 nucleotides) under uncultured bacterium. RNAcentral's name for it is "bacterial SSU rRNA". It matches the Rfam family "Bacterial small subunit ribosomal RNA", at positions 935 to 1482 of the family's 1533-position model. The record is from RNAcentral.
GAAAAUGUGGUUUAAUUCGAUGAUACGCGAGGAACCUUACCCCGGCUCGAACGGUGCAGGAAGAGAUCUGGAGACAGUGACGCCCUUCGGGGCCUGCAUCGAGGUGCUGCAUGGUUGUCGUCAGCUCGUGCCGUGAGGUGUCGGCUCAAGUGCCAUAACGAGCGCAACCCUUGUCGUCAGUUGCCAUCAGGUAGAGCUGGGGACUCUGACGAGACUGCCACCGCAAGAUGUGAGGAGGGGGGGGAUGACGUCAAAUCAGCACGGCCCUUACGUCCGGGGCGACACACGUGUUACAAUGGCGGCCACAGAGGGAAGCUAUCCUGGUGACAGGAUGCGGAUCUCGAAAACCCGUCUCAGUUCGGACUGGAGUCUGCAACCCGACUCCACGAAGUUGGAUUCGCUAGUAAUCGCGCAUCAGCCAUGGCGCGGUGAAUACGUUCCCGGGCCUUGUACACACCGCCCGUCAAGCCAUGAAAGCCGGGGGCACCUGAAGUCUGUGACCGCGAGGGNCGGCCUAAGGUGAAACUGGUAAUUGGGGCU